Molecule: ribosomal RNA, 304 nt
Filed under: uncultured bacterium
Lineage: Bacteria
Description: partial 16S ribosomal RNA
Rfam family: Bacterial small subunit ribosomal RNA
Source: RNAcentral
CAGCAGCAGCCACGGUAAUACGUAGGUGGCAAGCGUUGUCCGGAAUUAUUGGGCGUAAAGGGCUCGCAGGCGGUUUCUUAAGUCUGAUGUGAAAGCCCCCGGCUCAACCGGGGAGGGUCAUUGGAAACUGGGAAACUUGAGUGCAGAAGAGGAGAGUGGAAUUCCACGUGUAGCGGCGAAAUGCGUAGAGAUGUGGAGGAACACCAGUGGCGAAGGCGACUCUCUGGUCUGUAACUGACGCUGAGGAGCGAAAGCGUGGGGAGCGAACAGGAUUAGAUACCCCAGUAGUCCCUGUCUCUUAUAC